Molecule: transfer RNA, 71 nt
Organism: Schizosaccharomyces japonicus yFS275
Lineage: Eukaryota; Fungi; Ascomycota; Schizosaccharomycetes; Schizosaccharomycetales; Schizosaccharomycetaceae
Rfam family: tRNA
About the family: Transfer RNA (tRNA) molecules are approximately 80 nucleotides in length. Their secondary structure includes four short double-helical elements and three loops (D, anti-codon, and T loops).
Source: Rfam
UCCGUCAUGGUCCAGUGGCUAGGAUUCAUCGCUCUCACCGAUGCGCGGGGGUUCGAUUCCCCCUGACGGAG